UUAAAUCAUUUUCUUCGUCCGUGUGUUCUACUGUUUGACGAAUUUCUCACGUGAUGUUCUUUAAGAUGUUGAGAGAAGAGAGGAGAGAGAGAGAGAAAGAGAGAAAGAAAGUCUUCUUUGUCUAACGACUGACAUGACGUGGCAGUUUUCAGUGGCGCUUUAUCUGUUUGUCUGGCUGUAUAGUUGACAUCUUGACCCAGCCGGAAGUGACUUGCUGGUGGAUGUGAGAGACAAAGUCUCCUGUUGUCAGAUUCGCACAGAUGCCUAUGGUGGUUAAUAAUAAGUUAUGUGUCACGUUUUCAAAGAUGACUGGUGAUUACAGUCGUGUCUCCAUGUGACUUGAUGAACAUUCACUCAUCCAUCAACUCUGUUAUCUAUCACACACACACACAGAAAAAGAAGAAAGAUGUCAAAUGACAUAUCUUCAGACAUUUAUUAUCAUGUCAAAGGACAUCUCUGUGUGAUAAGCCUUCUAUUAUCAUGUCAAAGGAAUACCUCCUUAUCACGUGACUGGAAUGUUCUUUUUUUUAAACAGUUGUCUACAACACUUGGCCACCAUGGAUUUUCAGACCAUUGAGCUGUUGGCAGCAGGUGGUCUGCGAGUAACGUCCUUGUGUUCCAGGACAUGAUGGCCUACGGUAGAUGCUUACUACAUGCGUCACUAUAUACAGGUAAACAUCAUGGAGGGCUUUGUACAGUGAAAGGUCUUGGGUUCAGAUUUCAUCCCGUGACACCUCUUGGCAAGGCCGUCAGGGUUUUUCUCAGGAAAGCUACCAGAACUACUGAAGUUUUUAAAAUCGUCAGACAUUGUGAAACUUUGGUGGUUGACUGUGAAGAUUCAAAGUGCAGGCUGGUCAAUGGGAGACAACUGUGGUGGCCAGAAUGAAGAUGUUUUCAGAACUCGGGAAAAAUUUCAUUCAUGCUAGCAAAGGAAUAGUUCACUUUAAUCUGCUUCUUAAAGAAACAUGUACAGUUUCUGUGUGUGAGAUGUCUUCAUGCAGUUCACUAGCCAGUCUGAGCCUUGUUGGAGAAACUGUGAGACACAAAUUAACAAAGUCUGCAUCAUCUAAACAAAUAUAUGGUCUGUUAUUUUUUGUUUAUUCUUGGGGAAUAGUAUGUCAAUAAUAAAUUGUUUGGGACACUAGUCUCGUUACUUUUCAGACACACCUGCUAUUUCAUAUUCAUGGCCUGGCAAUGACAAGCGUGGCUACAUGCUGGGGAUUCAGAAGCACCUUUAUUAUUAGUAGUUACCACCCUUACAGCUCCUAUUCCCUGAGUAGACUCUAAUAAUCUUUGAGACAACUGAAGUGGUUGGGUAUCUAUUAUCAUAUAUUUAUCAUACUUUUUUCCUAAUCUAACAAAGAAAAUAAAGUUAAUCAUGGCCAACCUCUGGCAAAGCUUUAACCAAGCUUUACUGUUGGGGGGAAAAAAGUUUUGUAAUCAGAUUGAUUUACAUUUAAAAGCUUAUUAUGUGCUCAUCUGGACAAAAGAAAACUAAUCAUAGUUGUUUUUUCUUUGAAAUUUAGUCCACAUUUUUUUCUGUUUCAUUUUUUGAAAACUGGGCUCUUCUAUCCCCAAGUAUACUGGCAUUCUCUGUGAAUUUGUGAUUUUCCUGAACGGGCGCAGGGGAGCUCAAUGCGUCAUAUUUGCUUUCUGCUUUUCUCAGCUUAGGAGUGGUUAUUUCCCUUGAACUUUAUCAGUCUUGUGUUGAGGUUUUUAUUUUUCUCGUACGCCAGCUGUGUCGUUCUUGAAGACCAGACGCAGUCAUAAAUUAAGAUUUUUUUCUUUUAAAUGGGUCGUUGGAUGUUUCAGAAUUUGAUGGACAGGCCAGUGGGUUCAGGUCAUAUCUGGGGUUAAAAACUGGAUUGAGGUAAUCAACAGUCACUAUCAUUUACUUGUCUUAUUUAAAUCUGUUUUUCGAGACAUCAAAGCACUGAGUUGUAGACACUUAUAUCCAACUUGGCAGGUACACGAUUUCUAAAGAAAUGUGCAACCAUGUGUUCUCAUUAGUUAGCGAUCUUUAUUAGCAUUACACAUUAACUUCUUUAAAUUGUUUUCUGCAAGCAACAGUCCAGAACUGUUACACGUGUUUUAACUGGUCUAUUUUUCUUAGCUAUUUACUUUCAAUAUAACUAUUUUCUUAAAAAAAUUACCUUUAAAUUUACUUUUUCAUUAGUUCCAUAAGCAUUCGUCUUCCUUGUGCGAUUUUUGCUUUUAUUUCUUAUCCAGGAUGCUUAUUUUUCAAGUAAUUAGGUAGAUGUGCAAUACUAUUGUCUGCCGAUUCUACACAACUCGUUUCUAGGUAUAAACUAAAGAAAUGCGCUUGCAAAGUAUGACAAGUUGGGAGCAUAUGCGAAUUGGAAAUGAUGGGUUUGUUUGUAUCGGCCAAAAUACCACCUAACAGACAACAUCAGUCCACUACUGAAUAUACUAUAAUAGUCUGUCAAGCUGAUGUGAAUACAACUCAUUAUAGUUUGUUAGCAAUAACUGUGUCUUUUCCCUUGUGUUUAUUUAGCAAAGCAAAUAAUAAUAAUAAAAAAAAAAACCACAUGAAAUUGCACAUCAACUCACUGACAACCUCCCUCAGCGUUUGCCCUCGAUCUGCAAUUAUCCCGCUAACCAUAAUUAUGAUAAUCAUGCAUACAAAACGGUAUUUAAGAAUGCAUGAAGUGGUUCUCUCCAUCAGUAAUAAAAUAAUUAAAUUAUCACUAGAAGUGCUAUCUGAAACCGUAAAUGAAUUUUCGUUUUUGAUGUAUUUUUUUAGACAUCCGAAAUUGUGGAAAAAAUUUGUUUGUUGUUGUUUUUUUUUAUUUGUUUGUUUGGUUGGUUGGAUUUUUUUUGUUUUUUGUUUUGUUUUUUUUUUGUUUUUUGUUUUUUUGUUUGCAGACUCGCAUGGAUGGUACAGUUUUGGAGCU
Pomacea canaliculata is the source of this 2915-nucleotide long non-coding RNA. RefSeq lists it as uncharacterized. The record is from RefSeq and is a predicted model, not a curated record. Lineage: Eukaryota; Metazoa; Mollusca; Gastropoda; Architaenioglossa; Ampullariidae. The transcript has 3 exons.